RNAcentral lists this ribosomal RNA (720 nucleotides) under Rothia terrae. RNAcentral describes it as "bacterial SSU rRNA". It matches the Rfam family "Bacterial small subunit ribosomal RNA", at positions 47 to 772 of the family's 1533-position model. The record is from RNAcentral. Lineage: Bacteria; Bacillati; Actinomycetota; Actinomycetes; Micrococcales; Micrococcaceae.
CUUAACACAUGCAAGUCGAACGAUGAAGACCGGUGCUUGCACUGGUUGGAUUAGUGGCGAACGGGUGAGUAAUACGUGAGUAACCUGCCUUUGACUCUGGGAUAAGCCUUGGAAACGAGGUCUAAUACCGGAUAUGACACAGUUUCGCAUGAAAUCUGUGUGGAAAGGGUUUGUACUGGUUUUAGAUGGGCUCACGGCCUAUCAGCUUGUUGGUGGGGUAAUGGCUCACCAAGGCGACGACGGGUAGCCGGCCUGAGAGGGUGACCGGCCACACUGGGACUGAGACACGGCCCAGACUCCUACGGGAGGCAGCAGUGGGGAAUAUUGCACAAUGGGCGCAAGCCUGAUGCAGCGACGCCGCGUGAGGGAUGACGGCCUUCGGGUUGUAAACCUCUUUCAGCAGGGGAGAAGCGAAAGUGACGGUACCUGCAGAAGAAGCGCCGGCUAACUACGUGCCAGCAGCCGCGGUAAUACGUAGGGCGCGAGCGUUGUCCGGAAUUAUUGGGCGUAAAGAGCUUGUAGGCGGUUUGUCGCGUCUGCUGUGAAAGCCCGGGGCUUAACUCCGGGUUUGCAGUGGGUACGGGCUAACUAGAGUGCAGUAGGGGAGACUGGAAUUCCUGGUGUAGCGGUGGAAUGCGCAGAUAUCAGGAGGAACACCGAUGGCGAAGGCAGGUCUCUGGGCUGUAACUGACGCUGAGAAGCGAAAGCAUGGGGAGCGAA